UGAAUCCAUAGGUUAAUGAGGCGAACCGGGGGAACUGAAACAUCUAAGUACCCCGAGGAAAAGAAAUCAACCGAGAUUCCCCCAGUAGCGGCGAGCGAACGGGGAGCAGCCCAGAGCCUGAAUCAGUAUGUGUGUUAGUGGAAGCGUCUGGAAAGGCGUGCGAUACAGGGUGACAGCCCCGUACACAAAAAUGCACAUGCUGUGAGCUCGAUGAGUAGGGCGGGACACGUGGUA
This 234-nucleotide ribosomal RNA is filed under the name Escherichia marmotae. RNAcentral's name for it is "partial 23S ribosomal RNA". It matches the Rfam family "Bacterial large subunit ribosomal RNA", at positions 159 to 431 of the family's 2925-position model. The record is from RNAcentral. Lineage: Bacteria; Pseudomonadati; Pseudomonadota; Gammaproteobacteria; Enterobacterales; Enterobacteriaceae.